AUUGAACGCUGGCGGCAGGCCUAACACAUGCAAGUCGAGCGAGCGGCGGACGGGUGGGUAAUGUAGGGGGACUGCCCGAUAGAGGGGGAUAACUACUGGAAACGGUGGCUAAUACCGCAUACUAUCGGAUAACCCAUAUGGGAUUAGCUAGGAGGGGGGGUAAAGGCUCACCGAGGCGACGAUCUCUAGCAGGUCUGAGAGGAAGAUCAGCCACACUGGGACUGAGACACGGCCCAGACUCCUACGGAGGCAGCAGUGGGGAAUAUUGCACAAUGGGCGCAAGCCUGAUGCAGCCAUGCCGCGUGUAUGAAGAAGGUCUUAGGGUUGUAAAGUACUUUCAGCGGGGAGGCGUUACCCACAGAAGAAGCACCGGCUAACUCCGUGCCAGCAGCCGCGGUAAUUC
Molecule: ribosomal RNA, 403 nt
Filed under: uncultured bacterium
Lineage: Bacteria
Description: partial 16S ribosomal RNA
Rfam family: Bacterial small subunit ribosomal RNA
Source: RNAcentral